AUGCGUAAGUGGCAGGAGAAGGGGGAACGGCGUGGUGAGGACCACCACGGCGUCUCGUGCUGCUCGCUAGAAGCUGCAAGCUCCCAUGCGACCUUGCUCGUCGUCUUCUUCUCGUGCACAACAUCCAGGUCCAUCAAUUUGUUAAUCCAAGAUUUGGCUCAGGAGAGUGCCGCAUAUGCAGGAAGACACGGAGAUGGUGAGUCAGUGACCAUGGUUGCUCUGUUGAGUUCAGGGGAGCAAAUCAAUCGAGGAACUCUGAUCUUAUGGUUUUUAGAAUUGUUUAUGUGUAAGCCACAGAUUUUCGUGCAUGAAACUGAUAAUCUUAACGAGGAUACGUGUGCUAUUUGUUAA
RNAcentral lists this ribosomal RNA (351 nucleotides) under Triticum aestivum (bread wheat). Its description in RNAcentral is "partial small subunit ribosomal RNA". Lineage: Eukaryota; Viridiplantae; Streptophyta; Magnoliopsida; Poales; Poaceae. The record is from RNAcentral.